This 746-nucleotide ribosomal RNA is filed under the name uncultured bacterium. RNAcentral describes it as "bacterial SSU rRNA". It matches the Rfam family "Bacterial small subunit ribosomal RNA", at positions 61 to 800 of the family's 1533-position model. The record is from RNAcentral.
GUCGACGGCAGCACAGUGUAGCAAUACAUGGGUGGCGAGUGGCGCACGGGUGCGUAACACGUAUGUAAUUUGCCCAUAACUGGGGGAUAGCCUUCCGAAAGGAAGAUUAAUACCCCAUAACCCAGCGAAGUGGCAUCACUUUUCUGGUAAAACUCCGGUGGUUAUGGAUAAGCAUGCGUCCGAUUAGCUAGUUGGCGAGGUAACGGCUCACCAAGGCAACGAUCGGUAGGGGGUCUGAGAGGAUGAUCCCCCACACGGGUACUGAGACACGGACCCGACUCCUACGGGAGGCAGCAGUAAGGAAUAUUGGACAAUGGAGGCAACUCUGAUCCAGCCAUGCCGCGUGAAGGAUGAAGGCGCUACGCGUUGUAAACUUCUUUUCUCUUGGAAAAAACUCUUGGUUUCGUACCGAGACUGAUUGUACAAGAGGAAUAAGCAUCGGCUAACUUCGUGCCAGCAGCCGCGGUAAUACGAAGGAUGCAAGCGUUAUCCGGAUUCACUGGGUUUAAAGGGUGUGCAGGUGGGGUAGUAAGUCAGUGGUGAAAGCCCCCGACUCAAUCGGGGAACUGCCAUCGAUACUGCUAUUCUUGAGUGUGGUUGAGGCGGAUGGAAUAUGACAUGUAGCGGUGAAAUGCUUAGAUAUGUCAUAGAACACCAAUCGCGAAGGCAGUCCGCCAAACCAUUACUGACACUGAAACACGAAAGUGCGGGGAUCAAACAGGAUUAGAUACCCUGGUAGUCCGCAC